RNAcentral lists this ribosomal RNA (815 nucleotides) under uncultured Planctomycetaceae bacterium. RNAcentral's name for it is "bacterial SSU rRNA". It matches the Rfam family "Bacterial small subunit ribosomal RNA", at positions 58 to 887 of the family's 1533-position model. Lineage: Bacteria; Pseudomonadati; Planctomycetota; Planctomycetia; Planctomycetales; Planctomycetaceae. The record is from RNAcentral.
CAAGUCGAGCGCGAAACGUAGCAAUACGUGGAGAGCGGCGAAAGGGAGAGUAAUACAUAGGUACGUACCCUUGGGUCUGGGAUAGCGGCGGGAAACUGCCGGUAAUACCAGAUAACGUCUCCGGACCAAAGGUGUGAUUCCACCUGAGGAGCGGCCUAUGUCCUAUUAGCUUGUUGGUGGGGUAACGGCCUACCAAGGCAAAGAUGGGUAUGGGGUGUGAGAGCAUGCCCCCACUCACUGGGACUGAGACACUGCCCAGACACCUACGGGUGGCUGCAGUCGAGAAUCUUCGGCAAUGGACGCAAGUCUGACCGAGCGACGCCGCGUGCGGGAUGAAGGCCUUCGGGUUGUAAACCGCUGUCGUAGGGGAGGAAAUUCUGGUGGGUUCUCCCAUCAGAUUGACUGAUCCUAGGAGGAAGGACCGGCUAAUCUCGUGCCAGCAGCCGCGGUAAUACGAGAGGUCCAAACGUUAUUCGGAAUCACUGGGCUUACAGAGUUCGUAGGCGGUCCGGAAAGUGGGGUGUGAAAGCCCUCGGCUCAACCGAGGAAUUGCGCUCCAAACUACCGGGCUAGAGGGAGAUAGAGGUGAGCGGAACUGAUGGUGGAGCGGUGAAAUGCGUUGAUAUCAUCAGGAACACCGGAGGCGAAGGCGGCUCACUGGGUCUUUUCUGACGCUGAGGAACGAAAGCUAGGGGAGCAAACGGGAUUAGAUACCCCGGUAGUCCUAGCCGUAAACGAUGAGCACUGGGCCGGAGCUCUGCACAGGGUUUCGGCCGUAGCGAAAGUGUUAAGUGCUCCGCCUGGGGAGUAUGGUC